Molecule: unclassified non-coding RNA, 407 nt
Filed under: uncultured Rhizophagus
Lineage: Eukaryota; Fungi; Glomeromycota; Glomeromycetes; Glomerales; Glomeraceae
Description: sequence contains 28S rRNA gene
Source: RNAcentral
AGUUAAACAGUACGUGAAAUUGUUGAAAGGGAAACGAUUGAAGCCAGUCGUACCUUCGGGUAAUCAGCCUUUCGGGUGCGAUUCUGUGGAGUGUGAGGAGCUUAAACACCUUCAUGUUUUGCAUAUUCGUACUCUUGGGUGUACUUGCCCGUGUGGUUGGUUAACAUCAAUUUUGGUGGUCAUAAAAUGACUGGAGGAAUGUAGCUUCGAUCUUGUAUUGAAGUGUUAUAGCCUUCGGUAGAUGUGAUGAUCGAGAUUGAGGAUUGCAACGGAUACCCUUCGGGGCUACCUGUCUGAUCUCUGAUCGUUGCUCUGGUGCCGAAAGCUUGCUUACGGUUAUCAAAGUCGAUGGUCAAUAGGUUAGAACGGGUUAAAUUCGUUAAGGAUGUUGACGUAAUGGCUUUAAA